UAGGGAAUUUUCCGCAAUGGGCGCAAGCCUGACGGAGCAACGCCGCGUGAGUGAAGACGGCCUUCGGGUUGUAAAGCUCUGUUCUUUGGGAAGAAAAAAAUGACGGUACCAAAGGAGAAAGCCCCGGCUAACUACGUGCCAGCAGCCGCGGUAAUACGUAGGGGGCAAGCGUUGUCCGGAAUUAUUGGGCGUAAAGAGCACGUAGGCGGUUAGAUAAGUUGGAUGUGAAAGGCUACGGCUCAACCGUAGAGCGGCAUCCAAAACUGUUUAACUUGAGUGCAGCAGAGGAGAGUGGAAUUCCCGGUGUAGCGGUGGAAUGCGUAGAGAUCGGGAGGAACACCAGUGGCGAAGGCGACUCUCUGGGCUGCAACUGACGCUGAGGUGCGAAAGCGUGGGGAGCGAACAGG
RNAcentral lists this ribosomal RNA (407 nucleotides) under uncultured bacterium. RNAcentral's name for it is "bacterial SSU rRNA". It matches the Rfam family "Bacterial small subunit ribosomal RNA", at positions 355 to 776 of the family's 1533-position model. The record is from RNAcentral.